CCUGUCCUUCCUGUCACUGAGCCCAGGCCGUACCCUGCCCGAGUCGGGGUCAAGUCUCCCCAGUGAGCCCUGCCUGCACGCCAGCCCGGACUCAGGAUGGUGCUGGCUUGGAGGCCAUGAGAGGACAAAUGGGGACACCACUGCUUCAGAGCUGGCCACAUGGAGAUGGCGCUCCCUGGGUCCCCAGGUUCGGACCCCCAAACAGGGCCCGGGGCCUCUUGGGGAUAAGGGAAAGGUUUUCUGCCCAACGCUCCCUGAGGCCCCUACAUCAUGUUCUUGGAGGAGAAGGGGGCCAAAGGUGGCCCAGCCUCCGGGACAGAACAGCAACAGCCCCGGGGCGGCCUCUUACCCUCCUCACCAUGGGAAGGUUCCACCCAGCUCCGCACCCAGCCAGAGGCUCAUUGGUGAGAUUCCAGGAGCCCGUCGGGCCUUCCUGUCCUUAGAAGGGCCAUGUGGCCUGGGGGAAGUGCUCUGGAGCCAGGCAGGCCUGGCUCUGGCGCCUUGACUCCUCCUGACCCCCCAGCUGUAAGACCCUGAAUUAGUCACUUUACCUCUCGGGCCCCACCUGUCAAAUGGGCACAGGGGUCUCUACCUCUCAGAGUCAUUAUGAAGGGUUUCUGAGACCACCGGCCAAGGGGUCAAGGGUCGUCCACAGCGCCUGGCUCCCAGCAGAGACGCCUCCCUGCUCUGCCCGGUGAACGCAGCAAGCCUGCCACCCCAGGAGGAGCCAGAGCCUCGCACGGUAUGCACCCACCUGGGUCCACGGCCUGCUUGAGGCAAACUCGGGAACUUCUGUCCCCUCUCCUAGACUGGCCGGCUAGCCAUGGCCGUGGUCCCACAGCUGGCAGGCCCGGGCUGGUGAGGUAGUGUCUGUGUCCGGCCCCGUCUAGUGCCCACAUGAUGUGGGCACAGAGGGGGAGCUGGGCGGUCAGACACAGGCCUCUGGGGAGACGCUCAGCACGGCAGGAGCCCGUGGAGGCACCAGGUGGCUGGCCCAGCCCCCGCUCCACUGGGGACCACAGCCCUCUCCUGUGCAGUGGGAGACAUAAGCCCAGGCUGGCCUACUGCCCAGGAUCUGAGGGAAGUGGGUGGACAGUCCUCAGGCCCUGAUGGCCCUCCUGGGGUCCUGCCAGCUGGACAGUUCAGGGGAGCUGCAGAAAGAUGAGGUCACUGGGACAGAGGGCAUCACUUGUGUACAGAAAAUCACCCAGAGCCAAAGUUGUGUGGAGGGUCACACGCAGUCCCACGGUCAGACGACCCCUGGGCAGAGAGGGCAGCCCCCGGAGGCCCUGGGGCCCUGGCAGGCAGGCCUGGUGGGGAGGUCACGGCAGGGAGACCUCAGACGUUGGCCAGCAUGUCUGCAAAAGACUCUGGACAGCACAGAGGUGACACUCGGUCACUUGCAAAUACGGGGCGCUGCUGUGGGCUUGAGCCACCUGGCCCCCAGCAAACUGUGCAGAAGUCACGGCUGCCACUCUCCUCAGACCCACAGACCGGGCACCCGAGGGCCUCAGAGGGAGGCGGGGCGGGGGGUGGUCAGAGCUGAGGACCCCGGGCCUCGGUCUCCCCGUGGGUGCCCAGAGGACCAGAUCACAGAGACGUCAACCCCCCUGUUCUAAAGAAGGGGCCACUAAAGCAGGUUCAGUGGGAAUGACAGUGACCAGGAAUGCGUCCUGUGGCCUGGGCUGACCUGCAGCCCCGGGAGAGGGACGGGAGGAUCCGGGAGUCAUCACCGUGUGUGACACACCCACCCCACUGAACUCACGCUCACAUACAUCAGACUCACACAUUCAUACCCAUUCAACUCACACUCACAUGCACACUUACUUGCACACUCACACACACACACACACACACACACCUGUGCAGUCCAAGUCCCGGGAAGACGGGAGGCACGGUGGCUCCCUCCCAGCUCGCCAGGGAGCCUCCUCCAGCCGCUCGCUGACGCCACGUGCACGCAGACUCCGAGCCUCCUACGUCCGGACAAAGGGACCAGAACUCCUAGUCCACUUCAGCAGGACCUCGGGGCCUGUGUUCGCGGCCUGGACGACAAAGCCGCCUCUCGCCUCGGCUGUCAGAGCCCGGGAGCUGCCCCGGGAAGACUCCGGGCCUCAGCUGGGCUGACACGGUGCGGUGAGAAGGAAGGGAGCAGCCGACUCGCCCAGGUGCGUGACGUCCCGCGUCCCCAGGGGCACCGCUCAGCACCGUUCACACACCCUGCCCAGCGCCGGCCACCGUGCAGGUACCUGGGACAGAAGCUCUCGCUCAGCACCAACUGGGAGCUCCCAGGGCCGUGGAGGCUGACUCAUUACUAAACAUUCCUAUUAUUAGCUUCACUUUUUCUUCUGAUGUUAAAAGAAAUUAAAAUCACACAUCUUUAGGGCCCCUAGGAACCCAGUGGCCUGAGCGUGCCGUGCCUGCUGGAGGAGUGGGCCCUGACCCCGCCAGGCAGAGCCUCGGGUGCCCACCUCACCCAGCAGCGUGCCCCAAGCCCAGGGCACCACUGUCACCGAGAACACUGCCCUCCUGGCAAAUCACGUUCGUGAAGGGGCACUCGGGGCGCUGGAAACCUCCCCCAACUCCUGCAAAUCACGGAGGACCUGUCACUUAGGCCAUGGACCGCCCAGGAAGGGAAGAACCCCGAGGAUGGAGACCAGAGAUGGAAGGCUCACAGGCCACCUGGUUCAGGUGGCUGGACAGCAUCUGCGGCUCAGCUCGGGCCUGGCUCACGGGUCCAGAGUCCAGGCUCGGCCUCUUCCCCCUCCUUUCUGGAAGGCGCAGCUUCCCUGGCUUGACCCUGCUGAGCUGACAGGACUUUCUGGGCCGUGAUGGUCCCAGAAGGACGAUGUGGAAACUGAGGCCCAAACCAAGCCCCUGACCGUGGUUUACACACUGUGAAGGCAGCCCUGUGAUUUUGAUCUUGUAACCCGUGCUCACAGCCAAGGCCCUCCUGUUCCACCCAAGGCCCUCUGCUCUGUGCUCUGCAGCCGGUCCUCACAGCACCCGCGGAACAGCCCUAAGAGCUGUGACGACGAGAUUCACCCCCUGACGGCGUGAUGCCCCAGCGGCGCCCUUCUAGAGGGAUCUGAGGAGAAACAAGGCUGCGACUCGCUCCUGAGGUGACUCUGGGACCUUGUCGUCCAGCUCCGAAGACCAGAGGUGAAACCACGACUCGCUUGUCCCUCUGGGAAGGACACAGGAGUGAGGGCCAAAGGAGGCCGCUCGACAACUGUCUUGAUUUCUGCAUGGGUGACUCAUGGGGGAAAGGUCACGUAGAAGGAAUCAUGGUGGCUUCGGACUCGACGAUGGCUGUGGGAGCCACUGGAAGACGAUGGAACAAUUCCUGCAAAAGUGGCCUCUGCUUAGCUUUUUCUAUAGGAAAAUGAUUUCCAAACUGGAAUUCUAUACUCGGUGUGACAGACUGCAUGUUUGUGCCCCUAAAUUCACGUGUUGAAACCUAACCCCUGAUGUGACAGUGUUAGGAGGUGAGGCCUUCGGGAGGUGAGUAGGUCAUGAGGGGGGAGUCCCCAUGAUGGGAUCAGUGCCCUUAUAAAGAGGCCCCAGGGAGCUCCCUUGUCCGUUCCCUGUGUGAGAUGGUGAGAAGACACCCUCCGUGAACCAGGAAGCCAGUCUCACCACACACGGAAGGUGCCCGCACCUCGGUCCUGGAUUUCAGCCUCCAGGCCCGUGAGAAGGUGGGGGCUGUGGAAAGCGGGUGUGGGUGGGGCAGGCGAUGAGGAAAGCGAACACUGCUCCUCCCUAACGGAAGUCAGGAGAUACUGACUAAGCUGGAAAAGCAAGAAACGACAAUACAACAGAAAUACCAAAAGAAUUAGUUAAAAAACAAAAAAGGAAGCAGUUGCCUCUGGGGAAGAAUAAUUGGAGCCGGUGGGUGGCAGGAGACUGCUGUUUUUAUAAAAAGCCUUGGGACUCGUUUAACUCCUUAGGUGACAUUUGCAUCCAGCUCUGAUUUAGAGAGAAACAGAGCUUUCCUGUGAGCCGUGGAGACGGCAGAGCUCAGACAGCAGCCCCAGGUGGGCGCACAUGGAGACCCUGCUUCCUGAGGAUGAGGAGGAGGGGGGUGGAACGAGGCCCCAGGGCCCUGCGUUCCCUGGUGGAGAGGGGAGAUCUCGGAGGCCGCCAGGUCAGUGUGGGGCUCCCUGCUCUGUGGCCACGUCCACCUGCCCAUCACAGCCGGGAGGAAGACACUCGGCGCCACCGUGCGGGCAGGGCAUCCUCUACGCCCUGGUCUCACCUCCCCUCGGAUCCUAACUGGAGACCCUGGAGGGCAGAGCCGUGGACACAGCCUGGGGACCCGCUGGUGCUCAGCGCUGCGAGCUGGCCCGGCCAGUCCUCACUCUCUGCUGGGAUUCUGUCCUCAGCUUCCGCCACCAGAAGUCAAGCCAACACUGACACCAUUUCCCCAUUUGAAACACACGAGUGAGGCCCGCACGCAUUUGUGCUCUGAGAAAAUGCAACGUUCUGGUCCCUCUGCCCCAAGGGUGGGAACAAACAACCCCUCAAUGGUGGGGGGCGGGAGGGGGGCUUGUGGAGAAUCACGCUCGUGGACCACAUCUGUCCUCUGGCUUUGGGCUAGUUUCCUCCAAAUUACUGGCAAAUUCUGCAAUUCUGACCCCAGCUGUGGACACUGCUUUCUCCUGCGAGUCCCCAGGCCAACACUAAGGGUUGUCGAGUCCCUAAAUUGGCCCCAAGCCCUGCAUGUCCCCGAGCCCUGGGCAGUACUGCAGGUGGAGGGUCUGACUCGGGGGCUCGGCGAGCCCAGUCCCGUUUAUAGCCGGGCCUGGCUGUUCAAUGUGGGCCGCGGCCGGGCAGCCUUUGGCUCACUCGGGAGCUGGUUGGAAACAUCAGUUGCCAGCUGCACCACCAGAUCCACUGUUUCGGGACCUGCGUUCGAGCAGAUACCCAGAGAGGUUAGAGUUCAGGGCACUCUGGCUUGCAGGAGGGAAUUCUCACCCCAGUCACGCAACGUAGGGUGUCACCUUCAGGUGAGGAGGCCCAGGGAAGCUGAUUGGGUGACCCCCUCCCUAGCCGUGGCCAGGCCGGCCGGGGCUCAGGAGGGCCACCAGCUUGUCUGGACGCGGCCUCUACAGACACACAGUGGACUCACCAAACAUCUGGGCCUCAGCUUCCUCUCCUGAAAACUGGGGAGAGUUGUACCUAAGGGACGUCACCCCACAGGAGGGCCUCCCAUGCCUCACACGCUGUGACGAGCCCCGACUCUGCUGUGGGCCUGUGAUGCUCAGACACAGUCUUGCCUGGGGCCGCGGGAAGACAGGGUGGGAUGGCCAGGACAGAAGGCCGUGCAGAUGUGAGAGCCAGGCGUCCGUCUGAAUCCCGACUCCACCCUGAUGGCUGUGUGACCCUGGGCAAGCGACCUGUCCUCUCUGUGCUUUCAGUUUCCACUUCUAAGAAGGGGUGAAUAAGCAGGAUGAAGGAAGUUACUGUCUGCAGGGCGCUCACAACGGAGCCUGGCACCGAGCACGCGCCCUGGGUGUGUUUGUUAAACAGAUGUUAGAGAGAAGGGCCAGCUGAGUUCAGCUCAGAGGGCAGAAGGGGCAAGGUGGUGGGGGAGAGGCCCAGGGAGCAGCCCCCAGGCUGAGACCGCCUCGGAAAGGAGGGGCAGGGGGCGGGCCGGGCAGGGAGAAAGGAGAUGGGGACCCUCGAGGAUGGGGCUGGAGCAGGUGCUGGGGCAGGGGUGCGAUGUGAGGAGGCAGGGCCUGCUGGACCCAGCGCCCGCCCACAGGACCAGACACGAGGUCCUCACAGACCCAAAGGAUGCCCAAACCAAGUGAGAGGUUUCCUUUGUCUCUAGAAGGAGCCAAACGAAGGACAUUGGCGAGAAGUGAAAGGCGGCCUGGGUUCUGACCGCUGAGGGCCGCUCCCAGGCUCAGCUCACGGGGAGGAGCUCAGGCCCUGUGGACACCGAGGUUCCUCCCAGCCUGCCCUCCAUGUAGGGGGCGCCUCUCCUCACGGCACCCCCUGCUCAGGGCACCCCUCACGGCCGUCUCUUCCUUCACAAGCUGGGGCAAGGGGCUGACCCAUCCACGUGGAGGUGUCCCCAGGACGGGGGAUGUGGGGCCACAGGCUGGGGCUGCUAGCCAGUGAAACCACAGGCACGGGGGGCAUGCAGGAGCAAGUGUGGCCAAUGGUGCCAGAGCUGGGUGACCCUAAAUGACCCCUGGGAGCAAGAGGACGCGGGUGCCCGGGACAGGACCAGGUAGCAGCCUUCAUGGGAAUAGCAGCGGGAUCCUUGGGUGGCAGCCUCCACGUGCAGGGUCUCCUCUCCCAGGCCCCCAGCGGGGCUGUGUUUCCACUGCUCAGUUGGGAGGCCGGGAGGCAGGGACCCGUCACUUGUCCCAGGUCACCAGGCUUACAGACGGCAGAGUGUGCUCCCUCUGAAGCCAGCCCUGCCUAUCGGCUCCCCCUGCUCCAAAGUCCUGUGUCCCCCGCAGGGUCUCCACCCUGGAGACCGUCCCCCGGCCUCCUACCUGCUCAGGGGGAACAGCCUGCACCAGCUGUCACUCGGUCCCCUGAGCGCCACAUGCAAUCACCAGCACGUCCUGAAGGUGCCACCCCCAGCAGCUCCAGAACCUUCUCACCACCUCUGCUGCUCCGAGCCACAUCCACCGGCAGGUCCCCGUGGGAGCCUCCAAUCAUUUCUUUGCUUCUGCCGUUGCUCCCCUCAGCCUGGCCCCCGUCUUCAUCUCCCCACAGCACUUACCACUGUCUGGCGUCCUGUGUAUUUACUCAUUUACUGUUUCUUAGGUGUUAUAUGGAGAAUGAUCAGAGAACGGGGUGCACCAAUGGAGGGGAUGCCACCCAGGGGCUGGGGAGAGCUCCCUGGAGGAGGUGCGGCUUGGCUGAGUUGGCCUGGUGGUACACACUCAGAGACAGUGCAGUGCAGCGACUCUCACCCGCAGGCGCUCAGGAAGGACGCCACAUCUCCCCGCUGAUCAGACGCAGCGUCAGAGGAGCUUCUGCAGAGGGCCGGGCCCGGUGACGGCAGCGGUGCUCAGGAGCCAGCAGGCACCCGGUCCACUGGGGCCUUCCUCCAACGAGGAUUAACCGACACUGGUCAUAUGUGCCAGCUCUAGAGACCCACAGAGCUGUGGCCCAGCCCACACCUUUAAGAGAGGACGUGCACGAACAGAAGAAGGCCACUGGGUUGCAGAGGCGGGUGGGAGGCAGAGAGGGGGGCCUGGUCUGGGAACGGCCCCCAGAAGAGAAGCUGCUAGGCAGACAAUGACAGGAACGGUGUUGGAGGCAGAGGGAACAGCCUGUGCAAAGGCUCUGAGCAGAAGGCCCAGCUGCCCCUCUGUCCUCGGAGGGCCUGACGGGAUUGUGGGAGGACGGUGCUUGGCCCUUUACACAGCAAAUUCAAGCCAGGGGGGCCAGGGCUCUUUUAAGCUGACAUUUUCCGGCACAGCUGUUCGUGUUGUUCACAUAUCUGACAGCGGCCUGGCAAGCGUGCCCGCGAAACCCCGCUUCAUUGUUUUGGUUUUACUUUGUUUUUCUUUUUAAGGAAAAACAGCUGUAAGGCCAAGAGAGAAUGGAUGCUUUGGAGAAACUUCUGAUGCUACUUGCCCGGCUUAUACACUCAGGGCCAGGCCCCCAAACAGUCCACUGGGGCAGGGCAGGCCACAGCCAUCCCACGCACGGGCUGGGCUGAGCUGCCCGCCCAUCCAGGGUCAGCAGUGGGACCGAGGACGGCCCCGCCCCUUCAGGCUGCAGCCUCCGGCCAGCAGGAGCUUCCCCCUCCUCCGCUGUGACCAGACCAGACCCUGCAACGAGCCCUCGGGCCAGCUCUCUCUGCAGCUCCCAUGAGCCCUGUGGCCGGGCCAGGCUGGGCGCCUGCAGGACAUGGGGCCCGUCCUCUGUGCACCCCAAUCCCCAGAUGGUCUGUCCUCCUCGCUGUGACGCUGUAUGAUGGUGACAGCAGCAGCAGCGUGACAGUUCCCACUCACUGCACAUCGGACAGGAGCUGGCCCGUAUCCUCUCCAGUCCUCCCAGGCGCCCGCUGUGUAGACGACGUGGCCCCACUUUACAGACGAGGAGAAUGAGGUGCCACAGUUUGUGUCAGUUGCCGGAACCCAGAAGAGGCAGCCCGGGGAGGGCUCGGCAUGAAGAUGCCGCCCCCGCCUCCCUCACCGCCACCCCGCCCCCACCCCCCUCCCAGCGAGGACUUGAGGACGCGAGAAGGGGCUGCAGUGAGAGCCUCGGGGGUCCGACCUCAGGUGGGCGAGGGCGAGGUGAGUGGCCUGAGGCAGUGAGGUGUCUGGUGCCAGGCAGGCGAGGGGAGGGGGACCAGGGGGAGGUCCAUGGAGACCAACGUGAGUUGGGCCCUGAAUGCCAGUCUGAGGAGCUUCCACUUGGCCCCCAGAGCGACAAGGAGCACAGAGAGGCGGCGCCCUCUCACCCAGGGUUGAGGGAUGCUGGCUCAGAGAGGUGUGUCAGUGGGCGUGGAGAGGAGGGACUCCAGAGGGAGGGAGCACCCCAGGACCUUGACAUGGCCAGGUUCCAGGGGGCCGAGGGUGACCCCUGGGUGUCUGUUGGGGGAUCCCAAGGAUGCACCCUUCCCUGUAAAGGAUGAGGAGGGAUAAGCUACAGUUCUUUGGGUCUGACUACAGCCCCUGGGCGGGUGGGACAGGAACCAGGGCUCCUGGUGCCUGCCCAGCAUCCUCCGAGUCCAUGUGGCCCUUGCCUCUCAUCCUGGCCUUGGCGCCACAGGGAGGAGCAGGGAAUAAAACCUCCUUUCAGCCCGCCUCCCCUGAGCUGUCGCAGGCAGCCUGCCAGGAAACACGAGGCAAGUUAAAACCACAGGGGGUCUCUUUCCACCUAUUGAAUUAAAAUGUCCUGGAAGAGCGGUAAGCUGGCAGCAGCCGUGCCCACUGUUGGCUUUGUAACUGGGAUAUCGAGUUUGAAAAACAAACAAAUCAGCCAUUAAACAACAAAAAUGCACGCGGACCUCGACCCAGAAAUUCCUGUUCUGGGAGCAUCUCCUAAAGAAAUAAUCUCCAAUACAGGGGCCGGGCCACGCACGCUGUGCCGUUUGUCAUAGAAUGCAGACUUCAUGUCCAACUGAUGAGGAUUAUUUUGGGCUGGUUACUUUUAAAAACUGCAGACAGGAAGGAGGCUCUGAAAACUGGAAUUUACUUGCCCUUUGAUGAGAGACGUGUGCAUUUGUGAAGGAAGUCUCCAUCUGUGGGGGUGUCUCCCUCUGUGUACCAGCAGGAAGGCGGAAUGACCUUAUCUCUAGAAACUCUUAAUGGGGACGGCAAGGAUUAAGUCUGCAUAGUGAUCUUGCCCUUGUUUAUUGUGCUUGUCUGGUAACCUCAUGUAGCUGACUCCCCCCACCACCAACAUCCUCCGGGAGGCAUAAGACAUCCCGACUUAAUCCGGUCUGAUUCUUAUCUAGAGUUGUAGGACCACCCAAUAGCCAGACCCCACCUGUGCUGAGACCAUUUUAACAACUUUUUUUUUUACAUAUUCUUUCCUUUGUCUUGUAAACAGAUAACUCACAUACCUAUGCCUUAAAUUUAGCCCUACCCUCAACCCAUGUCUGCAGCUCUUCCUGCCCAUGGGUCCUGUCCCC
This is a long non-coding RNA of Equus caballus (horse), 9613 nucleotides long. The record is from Ensembl. NCBI's taxonomy places the organism in Eukaryota, Metazoa, Chordata, Mammalia, Perissodactyla, Equidae.